Long non-coding RNA from Humulus lupulus (European hop), 429 nucleotides. RefSeq lists it as uncharacterized. The transcript has 2 exons. The record is from RefSeq and is a predicted model, not a curated record. Lineage: Eukaryota; Viridiplantae; Streptophyta; Magnoliopsida; Rosales; Cannabaceae.
GGUAGCUGUAGAGGCAGACCUGAAUGGGUGGAUGUUCAACAUCUUUGACUCCAGUAUUGGAUCAAUUUCCGAAAACGAUUUGAUCAGUUUGAUGGUUGACUGGUGUACCAUUUUCCCGUCGGUCUUGCGACAGUCCAGUUUAUUUGAGAACCAUGACGUUAUACUCACGCCUCAGUUGACAGCAUCAGAGAACCAGGUCAGACCCUUCGAUUGGAAACUCACUCCACGUGAAUUCGUACCGCAAACAAAAUCCAGUGGCGAUUGCGGAUGUUACGUAAUUGAGCAUAUCGAACAUAAGCUUCUACAACUACCAUUUGAUAAUGUAACUGACAAUAAUAUGAAAAUUUUUAGGCAAAGGUGGUGUGUAGACUUAUUCUACCAAAACUUAUGUUGAACGGUCUUAAUUUUUUUUAAUUGUAUAAUUUUUUU